CCGUAGCCCAAGAGAUCGGGAUAACACCUGGAAACAGAUGCUAAUACCGGAUAACAACAGAUGAUGCCUAUCAACUGUUUAAAAGAUGGUUCUGCUAUCACUCUUGGAUGGACCUGCGGUGCAUUAGCUAGUUGGUAGGGUAACGGCCUACCAAGGCGAUGAUGCAUAGCCGAGUUGAGAGACUGAUCGGCCACAUUGGGACUGAGACAAGGCCCAAACUCCUACGGGAGGCAGCAGCA
This 239-nucleotide ribosomal RNA is filed under the name uncultured Lactobacillus sp. RNAcentral's name for it is "partial 16S ribosomal RNA". It matches the Rfam family "Bacterial small subunit ribosomal RNA", at positions 125 to 355 of the family's 1533-position model. Lineage: Bacteria; Bacillati; Bacillota; Bacilli; Lactobacillales; Lactobacillaceae. The record is from RNAcentral.